CAUAAGAGAGCUCCAAGCUGAGGGGGAGAUAACCAGACACCCCAAGAUCUGUCACGCAUCCUAAGGGCUUUGGCAUCAUUAGCAAAACUCUAAGGCAGAGGUUGGGUGAGAGUGGAGCAGCUGGAGUGGCAGCACCAGGCGGCAGAGACUGGA
RNAcentral lists this long non-coding RNA (153 nucleotides) under Gopherus agassizii (Agassiz's desert tortoise). RNAcentral describes it as "lncRNA (ENSGAGG00000024440.1)". The record is from RNAcentral. Lineage: Eukaryota; Metazoa; Chordata; Testudines; Testudinidae.